AGUACAAAAAUCUAGACUACACCACUGAGAAGUGAGCAAGCAUCUUUCAUGCACGCGCCUGUUUGAACUUCAAGAGUGAAUCGGGAACAGCGCAGAACUGUCACUUGCCUCAUCAGAGGACUGAUCUUAUUUUAAUGAAGAGAUGGAGAGGAAACAGCAAAUCAUUCUUUUCAUUUGUUUGUUACAAGGUGUUUGGUGUGGAGAUUGGAGCAUCAGUCUGCCAGAGAAGAUUGAAGCUCUGAGAGGAUCCUGUGUGACCAUAAACUGCACAUUUACUAUUAAUGACACAUAUGAUGAUAAUCUCACUGACAUUACUGCAGGAUUGUGGUAUAAAGAUGUGAUUAAUGCAAAUAAUAUAUUGUUUAACUCAAGCAGUCCUGAAAAUGGCAUAAAUGGGAAUUUAACAGGGAAAUUGAAAAACAAGGACUGUACCACCAUUUUCUAUAAAGUUACUUCAAUUCACAAAGGCAAAUUUUUCUUCAGGAUUGAGGGUAAUGGUGGACUGAAAUAUACCUAUAAACAAAAAUCUGUCUCAAUAGAUG
Paramisgurnus dabryanus is the source of this 542-nucleotide non-coding RNA. The record is from RefSeq and is a predicted model, not a curated record. Lineage: Eukaryota; Metazoa; Chordata; Actinopteri; Cypriniformes; Cobitidae.